This is a non-coding RNA of Nerophis lumbriciformis (worm pipefish), 82 nucleotides long. The record is from RefSeq and is a predicted model, not a curated record. NCBI's taxonomy places the organism in Eukaryota, Metazoa, Chordata, Actinopteri, Syngnathiformes, Syngnathidae.
CCCCUUGCAAUAUGAUGACAAAUGUGUUGGUAGGGACAUCUGAAUUGAUGUGAGGAAACGCCAACCAUCCUGACGGCAUGGG